This 1050-nucleotide long non-coding RNA is filed under the name Marmota monax (woodchuck). The record is from RNAcentral. Lineage: Eukaryota; Metazoa; Chordata; Mammalia; Rodentia; Sciuridae.
UUUUUUUUUUUAUAAGUUACAGAAAAUGGCCUUAUAGUGGUUUGUUCAAGAUACCUAUAAAUGGCAAGUUUGCAUUGAUUGAUCUGCUUCAAAGGCUAUGGCUGUGAAGGAUAAGGUAUUACUCAGUAAUGAGACCAUGGCAUAAAAAAUAAAAGUUCUUAUGGCUUGAGUCACUUGCUUUCUAGAAUGCAUGUGGGAUGUGGCAUGUCAUUAUAUUAGUCACCAGAACUGGUUUGGCAAAAUAGUCAGAAAAUAUGUUCUUUGCCCGAGCAUUUAAUUUAGAGGACUUCCAUAAAAUUGCUUACAAUUUUUAGGGAUAGGACCAAGCCUUUUACUUAAAUGAAAACAUCUUAAUGAGACACUAACCUAUGAAAGGAUGUUGUGGAGGACCAAGUUGGAAUGAGAGUUUAGUUUUAAAGAAGGGAAAAGUACAAUGCUGUAGGUGGUUGGAUUCUGCAUGUGUACAUCUUCAGGGCUGAGAAAACAAAUGCAGAAGAAUUUUGUCAGCUUGCAUAGCAUAAAAUGAAUGACUAAGGCAGUUCCUCAAGAUCAAAGGAUGGGGCUGACCACUUUUAUUGAAGAAAAGGGGAGGUUCAAAGAAGUGAAGAAAAUGAACUUCAGAAUGACCUCAAAAGAGUGGCUAUUGCAAAGCUAAUGGGGCACCUGUUCUUAUAGGUCAAGGUCGCUGUCAAGUAUGCAUUUUCUCUUAUACCUUAAAAUUCAGAUUUUGCCAGUCUGGGAAAGGCAUUUCAUCUAGCUGUUAGAACUAGAGACUGCUCUUUAUUAGGAGUUGAAGCCAUGUCUGCAGAGUAUAACCAGAAGACUUUAUUUAGUCGGAAAGUCAUAAAGGCACGCAUAGUCAAAUCCUCAAAGGAUAAACUAAAAAACUAGAGCAAGAAAAUUGGUCCAGCCCUGUGCAAGGGAGGGCCAGGCACCACAGAGCGCAAAUCUAACCAGGUAAUGGUUGAUGAUUACACUGGAGUGAGGGAGUCAAGUGCAAUUUUUGUAGCUGUCAGCCAAGCUUAAGUGCCUCAAUCUUUUGCCCUUGCC